This 301-nucleotide ribosomal RNA is filed under the name uncultured bacterium. RNAcentral's name for it is "partial 16S ribosomal RNA". It matches the Rfam family "Bacterial small subunit ribosomal RNA", at positions 509 to 808 of the family's 1533-position model. The record is from RNAcentral.
CAGUAGCCGCGGGAAUACGUAGGUCCCGAGCGUUGUCCGGAUUUAUUGGGCGUAAAGCGAGCGCAGGCGGUUAGAUAAGUCUGAAGUUAAAGGCUGUGGCUUAACCAUAGUACGCUUUGGAAACUGUUUAACUUGAGUGCAGAAGGGGAGAGUGGAAUUCCAUGUGUAGCGGUGAAAUGCGUAGAUAUAUGGAGGAACACCGGUGGCGAAAGCGGCUCUCUGGUCUGUAACUGACGCUGAGGCUCGAAAGCGUGGGGAGCGAACAGGAUUAGAUACCCCAGUAGUCCCUGUCUCUUAUACC